This 253-nucleotide ribosomal RNA is filed under the name uncultured bacterium. RNAcentral's name for it is "partial 16S ribosomal RNA". It matches the Rfam family "Bacterial small subunit ribosomal RNA", at positions 524 to 776 of the family's 1533-position model. The record is from RNAcentral.
GACGAACCGUGCGACCGUUGUUCGGAAUCACUGGGCUUAAAGGGCGCGUAGGCGGGCCUUCAAGUCCGGGGUGAAAUCCUCCAGCCUAACUGGAGAAGAGCCUCGGAGACUGAGGGCCUCGAGGGAGGUAGGGGCAAGCGGAACUAUGGGUGGAGCGGUGAAAUGCAUUGAUAUCCAUAGGAACUCCGGUGGCGAAGGCGGCUUGCUGGACCUCUUCUGACGCUGAGGCGCGAAAGCCAGGGGAGCAAACGGG